UACAGAGGGUGCGAGCGUUAAUCGGAAUUACUGGGCGUAAAGCGCACGUAGGUGGCGACGUAAGUCGGGUGUGAAAGCCCCGGGCUCAACCUGGGAAUUGCAUUCGAGACUGCAUUGCUGGAGUACGGAAGAGGAAGGCGGAAUUCCCGGUGUAGCGGUGAAAUGCGUAGAUAUCGUUUGGAACGCCAAUGGUGAAAACAGGUUGCUGGGAGUGUGCUGACGCUGAGACACGAAAGCCAGGGGAGCAAACAGG
RNAcentral lists this ribosomal RNA (253 nucleotides) under uncultured bacterium. RNAcentral describes it as "partial 16S ribosomal RNA". It matches the Rfam family "Bacterial small subunit ribosomal RNA", at positions 524 to 776 of the family's 1533-position model. The record is from RNAcentral.